This 492-nucleotide ribosomal RNA is filed under the name uncultured bacterium. RNAcentral's name for it is "partial 16S ribosomal RNA". It matches the Rfam family "Bacterial small subunit ribosomal RNA", at positions 29 to 507 of the family's 1533-position model. The record is from RNAcentral.
AGUGAACGCUGGCGGUAGGCCUAACACAUGCAAGUCGAACGGCAGCACAGUAAGAGCUUGCUCUUACGGGUGGCGAGUGGCGGACGAGUGAGGAAUACAUCGGAAUCUACUUUUUCGUGGGGGAUAACGUAGGGAAACUUACGCUAAUACCGCAUACGACCUACGGGUGAAAGCAGGGGAUCUUCGGACCUUGCGCGAGUGAAUGAGCCGAUGUCGGAUUAGCUAGUUGGCGGGGUAAAGGCCCACCAAGGCGACGAUCCGUAGCUGGUCUGAGAGGAUGAUCAGCCACACUGGAACUGAGACACGGUCCAGACUCCUACGGGAGGCAGCAGUGGGGAAUAUUGGACAAUGGGCGCAAGCCUGAUCCAGCCAUACCGCGUGGGUGAAGAAGGCCUUCGGGUUGUAAAGCCCUUUUGUUGGGAAAGAAAAGCAGCAGGUUAAUACCCCGCUGUUCUGACGGUACCCAAAGAAUAAGCACCGGCUAACUUCGUG